UUUUAAUGAUGAAAACAACAGACCUGAUUUGAAACCAAUUUGAGAAUGUAUUUCUACUUCUGAAAAAA
Molecule: non-coding RNA, 68 nt
Organism: Plasmodium knowlesi strain H
Lineage: Eukaryota; Apicomplexa; Aconoidasida; Haemosporida; Plasmodiidae
Source: Rfam